UGUUUCCUUUUCCCCUUUUCUCUGUUUCGCUUAUCCGCUUCAAAGCUAACCCUAGUCAGUGCUGGUCGUGCUUAAACAGGGAAAUUAAUAUCAUUAAUCACUCAAUUUAUUAGAUCCAAUCCAGUUGAAGAGUCGCCCAGAUCUCUUUCUUGGUUUGCUUGGGUUCAAUUGCCGAUGAAUUUGGUAUGCUGAGGUAAAAAAACAAAAUUAGAAUCUGAAACCUAGGGUUUUUUUUUUCUUUUUUUUUUUUGGUCGAUGGAGCCACGAGUGGGGAACAAGUAUCGAUUGGGUCGGAAGAUUGGCAGUGGAUCCUUUGGGGAGAUCUAUCUUGGGACGAAUAUUCAGACAAAUGAGGAAGUGGCGAUUAAGCUAGAAAAUGUGAAGACAAAACAUCCUCAAUUGCUAUAUGAGUCAAAGUUGUACAGAAUUUUACAAGGAGGAACUGGUAUACCAAAUGUCAGAUGGUUUGGUGUAGAAGGAGACUAUAAUGUUCUAGUUAUGGAUUUGCUUGGACCUAGUCUUGAAGACCUAUUUAAUUUUUGCAGUAGGAAACUCUCUCUGAAAACAGUUCUCAUGCUUGCUGAUCAAAUGAUCAAUCGCGUUGAGUUUGUCCACUCAAAAUCAUUUUUACAUCGAGAUAUCAAGCCUGAUAAUUUCCUUAUGGGCUUGGGACGGCGUGCAAAUCAGGUCUACGUAAUUGAUUUUGGACUGGCGAAGAAAUACAGAGACAGUUCAACUCACCAACAUAUUCCUUACAGGGAAAACAAAAACUUGACAGGAACUGCACGAUAUGCCAGUAUGAAUACUCAUCUGGGUAUAGAACAAAGCAGGAGAGAUGAUUUGGAAUCUCUUGGAUUUGUCCUAAUGUACUUCUUAAGAGGAAGCCUUCCUUGGCAGGGACUCAAAGCGGGAACUAAAAAACAGAAAUAUGAGAAAAUAAGUGAGAAGAAGGUUUCAACUUCCAUUGAGGCAUUAUGCCGGGGUUAUCCAACUGAGUUUGCAUCAUAUUUCCAUUAUUGCCGUUCACUUCGUUUUGAGGACAAGCCAGAUUAUGCUUACCUUAAGAGAAUAUUCCGCGAUCUCUUCAUUCGCGAAGGUUUCCAAUUUGACUAUGUUUUUGAUUGGACUAUUCUGAAGUAUCAGCAGUCUCAAAUGGCUGCCCCUCCUCGGACUCUUGGUCCAACUGCUGGUCCGAGCUCUGGACUCCCCCCUGCAAUCCCCAGUGGUGAGAGGCUGCCAGGUGAUGAAGAAGGGAGACUGGUGGGCACUUCUUCAGCAGAUCCUUCUAGAAGAAGAAGCUCUGGACAACUUAUAAAUGCUGGGAGCUUAUCUAGACAGAAAAGUCCAGUUGCAAAUGAUUCAUCGAGCAAGGAUGCUAUGAUGUCAAGCUCGACUUUCUUUGGAAGGUCUAGUGGAACAAUGAGACGACCUGCUGUUUCCGGUAGCCAAGAAACUUUCACUAUGAGAAACGAUAUCCGACCCUGUUCGUUCUCGCACUCCUGAAGCCAGUCCAGCUACUGUACACAAAACAUCGAGUGCUCAAAGAACUUCAGCUCCCGGUGGAUCGUCCGAGCCGAAACAAACUUCGUCCGGGAAGAACAAUUCUAGCGUAAAGAAUUACGAUUCUGCCAUAAAAGGUAUCGAUAAUUUGCAUUUUGACGAUGAAGAAAGGUUCCAUUGAAUGGAAUCCCUGCCUUUUAAUACUGCGUUCCUGUAAAUCAUCAAAUUUGUGUGAUAGAGACGAGAGGAAGAUUUAACCUUGUUGUAAUUCUCUCUCGUUCGAAUUCAAGAAAAUCAGCUGUUGCCAUUUGUUGUGCUCUCAUGAGGAUAGGUAACUGAAAAAGAAAAAAAAAAAGAACUCGAGUGGAUUGUAGACUGUUGUAAUGUUGUGUCCAUUCGAGUCGUGGUGUGGGUCUUUUAUUCCAUGUGCCGCUUGUUUCUUUACUUUGGGUAUAAAUCCCAUUUCUGCCCCUAGCCUUGAGCGUUCCUUUGUAUAAUUUGGCCGCUGUAAUGUUGGCUUUUUUCCGCAAUGUUGUUUACCAGUUCGGAACAUGUUCAAGCUCGGGCAAUUGGUUACCAAAUAUUUACACUUAAUUUGUUAUAAAUAUUUUAUUCAGCCAACUGAGCUGUUUUCACUGAUUAUGAUUAUCUCGGCUGGUGUCGAU
Molecule: non-coding RNA, 2165 nt
Organism: Erythranthe guttata (spotted monkey flower)
Lineage: Eukaryota; Viridiplantae; Streptophyta; Magnoliopsida; Lamiales; Phrymaceae
Source: RefSeq, a predicted model, not a curated record